RNAcentral lists this ribosomal RNA (450 nucleotides) under uncultured bacterium. Its description in RNAcentral is "bacterial SSU rRNA". It matches the Rfam family "Bacterial small subunit ribosomal RNA", at positions 354 to 796 of the family's 1533-position model. The record is from RNAcentral.
GUGGGGAAUAUUGGACAAUGGGCGAAAGCCUGAUCCAGCCAUGCCGCGUGUGUGAAGAAGGUCUUCGGAUUGUAAAGCACUUUAAGUUGGGAGGAAGGGCAGUAAGUUAAUACCUUGCUGUUUUGACGUUACCAACAGAAUAAGCACCGGCUAACUUCGUGCCAGCAGCCGCGGUAAUACGAAGGGUGCAAGCGUUAAUCGGAAUUACUGGGCGUAAAGCGCGCGUAGGUGGUUCAGCAAGUUGAAGGUGAAAUCCCCGGGCUCAACCUGGGAACUGCCUCCAAAACUACUGAGCUGGAGGACGGUAGAGGGUAGUGGAAUUUCCUGUGUAGCGGUGAAAUGCGUAGGUAUAGGAAGGAACACCAGUGGCGAAGGCGACUACCUGGACUGAUACUGACACUGAGGUGCGAAAGCGUGGGGAGCAAACAGGAUUAGAAACCCUGGUAGUCC